CCAGCAGCCGCGGUAAAACGUAGGAGGCGAGCGUUAUCCGGAUUUACUGGGUGUAAAGCGCGUGCAGGCGGUGGGUUAAGUUGGGUGUGAAAGCUCCUGGCUCAACUGGGAGAGGUCGCUCAAAACUGGCCGACUGGAGAAUGGUAGGGGAAGGUGGAAUUCCGGGUGUAGUGGUGAAAUGCGUAGAUAUCCGGAGGAACACCAGUGGCGAAAGCGGCCUUCUGGACCAUAUCUGACGCUCAGACGCGAAAGCUAGGGGAGCAAACGGGAUUAGAGACCCCGGUAGUCCUAGCCGUAAACGAUGUGAACUUGGCGCCGGGCGGGUAAAACCGUUCCGUGCCGCAGCCAACGCGAUAAGUUCACCACCUGGGGACUACGGCCGCAAGGUUAAAACUCAAAGAAAUUGACGGC
This 411-nucleotide ribosomal RNA is filed under the name uncultured bacterium. RNAcentral describes it as "bacterial SSU rRNA". It matches the Rfam family "Bacterial small subunit ribosomal RNA", at positions 508 to 917 of the family's 1533-position model. The record is from RNAcentral.